Nomascus leucogenys (northern white-cheeked gibbon) is the source of this 104-nucleotide small nuclear RNA. The record is from Ensembl. Lineage: Eukaryota; Metazoa; Chordata; Mammalia; Primates; Hylobatidae.
GUGCUCACUUUGGCAGCACAUAUACUAAAACUGAAAUGAUACAGAGCGUAGCAUGGCCCCUGCACAGGGAGGACUUGCAAAUUUGUGAAGCGUUCCAUAAAAAA